RNAcentral lists this unclassified non-coding RNA (19 nucleotides) under Candidatus Phytoplasma pruni. RNAcentral describes it as "partial 16S-23S intergenic spacer". Lineage: Bacteria; Bacillati; Mycoplasmatota; Mollicutes; Acholeplasmatales; Acholeplasmataceae. The record is from RNAcentral.
AGGAAAAAAUAAAAUUAUC